UGGCAUGUCUCCAUCUUUCAAGGUGACUGAG
RNAcentral lists this non-coding RNA (31 nucleotides) under Homo sapiens (human). The record is from RNAcentral. Lineage: Eukaryota; Metazoa; Chordata; Mammalia; Primates; Hominidae.